This is a non-coding RNA of Cercophora samala, 111 nucleotides long. The record is from the annotation of a GenBank genome assembly. NCBI's taxonomy places the organism in Eukaryota, Fungi, Ascomycota, Sordariomycetes, Sordariales, Lasiosphaeriaceae.
GCGGGUUUAGCUCAGUUGGGAGAGCGUCAGACUGAAGUCCACUUCGGCUACUUAACAACUAUCCACACCAGGAUAAUCUGAAGGUCGUGUGUUCGAUCCACACAAACCGCA